RNAcentral lists this unclassified non-coding RNA (182 nucleotides) under rhizosphere metagenome. RNAcentral describes it as "partial ribosomal RNA internal transcribed spacer region". The record is from RNAcentral.
AAUGAAGCCGGGAAACCGGUCCUUCUAACCCUUGAUUAUCAUAAUUUGUUGCUUUGGUAGGCCGCGCAAGCACCGGCUCCGGCUGGUUAGUGCCUACCAGAGAACCACAAACUCCGCAUCAUAGUUAUCGUCUGAGUCUGAUAUAAAUAUCUAAAACUUUCAACAACGGAUCUCUUGGUUCU